UCUACUUGGUGAAAUUAGAGAUGCUGUCAAAAGCCUUAGAGCUGGAUACAUGAGGAUUAUGCGGUUAUGUGGUUGUAUUUCACAGGUGGUUCAAGCCUAGAGCGGAUAACUUCAGCAGAAAGGAAAAAUUAAACAACUUGGACGAAUGGACUCUUGUUGGGGCUGCCACUGCAUGGAAGGCAAACAAACUUACCCUUGCGUUCUGCUAUUGUUGUCAAAUUGCACUUGUUCGACAUUCUCACAGGCCCUCUACUGUGUUAACAACAACGCAUCAUAUGUUGAAUGAUGAUGGUGGUAUAUAGGGUGAGAGUAUAGCUGCACGUAUUACUUGUUUCCUUUGAUGCUGAAGUAUUGUCCUCGGGGCAUUCUCCCAGGUCUGUUUGUUCUUUCCUUAUUUUGAAGUAAUUCAAGUUGUUAGGCUAGGUGCAUUUUGCUCAUGCACAUGUGUCCCUAAAGAAAGGGUGAAAACUGACAAGGAACACUAUAGUUUGCCUACUUUAGCUGUAUGGUUUCCAUAUUCUUACCAGCUAUGGGCGUUUUGUGUCUACGUCUUGAUGCAAAUGAAUCUAAAAAGUG
Molecule: unclassified non-coding RNA, 576 nt
Filed under: Hevea brasiliensis (rubber tree)
Lineage: Eukaryota; Viridiplantae; Streptophyta; Magnoliopsida; Malpighiales; Euphorbiaceae
Source: RNAcentral